Molecule: ribosomal RNA, 151 nt
Filed under: Aythya fuligula (tufted duck)
Lineage: Eukaryota; Metazoa; Chordata; Aves; Anseriformes; Anatidae
Description: partial 12S ribosomal RNA
Source: RNAcentral
CAAAAGACUUAGUCCUAACCUUACAGUUGGUUUUUGCUAGACAUAUACAUGCAAGUAUCCGCGCCCCAGUGUAAAUGCCCUCAACAGCCUGCCCUCAGGCCUUAAGGAGCGGGUAUCAGGCACACCCACGUAGUAGCCCAAGACGCCUUGC